Long non-coding RNA from Salvelinus fontinalis (brook trout), 791 nucleotides. RefSeq lists it as uncharacterized. The record is from RefSeq and is a predicted model, not a curated record. The transcript has 3 exons. NCBI's taxonomy places the organism in Eukaryota, Metazoa, Chordata, Actinopteri, Salmoniformes, Salmonidae.
CUAGUUUCUAUUCACGUAGGCCCCUCCCUGUUUGCUUUCUAGUCUAGUGAUGAAAAACCAUGGAGCGCCCUUCUGUGAUGCUCAGCACGGCUGCAAAAAAGACUACCUGGAACGAAACCAUUUUCGUCAGCAUGGAGUUAGUUACAGAAACUGAGUACAUGUGCAAUCGCUAAGACCCUCAUACCACAUCUGCAAACUAAAAUCUAUGUGACAGCUUCAAAAAUGAUACUCCUGUGUAAGGGUCUGCAGCGAAUCACAGACAGCCGCCAGAGAGAAGCAAAUGUAACCACAGGACAUGUGACAGAGUUGAUGGACACCCUAUGGAGGAGCCCCUCCUCCAAAGAUCUGCAGAUCCUCUGAGCUGGUGGAAGAACAAGACCUCUGUCUACCCACGGCUUACUAAAGUCAUGACAGGGAGACUCUGCAUAUUGGCCACCGGUUCCCUCUGAGAGGGUCUUCUCAAAAACGGGACAAAUAAUUACUGAGAAAAGAAACCACAUCAGCCCCUGGAAAAUGAGGCAGCUUGCAUUUCUGAAUGCAAAUCUCUCAUAAAAGCAAAAUAUGGUCAGGAUUGCUGUGUGCUGCUGGUUAUAACAUGGCAAUAAAGAAGAGAGAGAAAAGAGGGACCAGUUUAAUGUUUUAAGUGGGAUGCUGCAGUUUUGCACAUUGUUAUUUAUUUUUCUUUGAUAUGAUGUAAUAUUCUAUUAUUAUGUUGUUCAAAUUGUAUUCGUUUUGAAUUGUUACAUUUAUAUGCACUUUGUUUAUAUACAUUAAAAAAGUUAUACUUUAAA